This 253-nucleotide ribosomal RNA is filed under the name uncultured bacterium. RNAcentral's name for it is "partial 16S ribosomal RNA". It matches the Rfam family "Bacterial small subunit ribosomal RNA", at positions 524 to 776 of the family's 1533-position model. The record is from RNAcentral.
UACGUAGGGUGCGAGCGUUAAUCGGAAUUACUGGGCGUAAAGCGUGCGCAGGCGGUUUUGUAAGCCAGAUGUGAAAUCCCCGAGCUUAACUUGGGAACUGCAUUUGGGACUGCAAGGCUAGCGUACGGCAGAGGGGGGUAGAAUUCCUGGUGUAGCAGUGAAAUGCGUAGAUAUCAGGAGGAAUACCGAUGGCGAAGGCAGCCCCCUGGGUCGAUACUGACGCUCAUGCACGAAAGCGUGGGGAGCAAACAGG